Molecule: unclassified non-coding RNA, 1453 nt
Filed under: Hevea brasiliensis (rubber tree)
Lineage: Eukaryota; Viridiplantae; Streptophyta; Magnoliopsida; Malpighiales; Euphorbiaceae
Source: RNAcentral
GUUAGAUGGUACAUGGAGUGGAGGCAAAAGAUUAUAACUCUAAUUGAAUGCAGUUUGGGGUCAGAGUUUGCUAAUAUGAAGGAGAUUCUCCUCAAAUGCUUGGAAUACAAUCCUGAAAGUCGGCCACUUAUAUUUGAAUUGUGGAAAAUAUUAAAGGUUCUUGUGAUCAAAUCUGAACUUGAUGAUGUAAAAGACUUAGAGCAGGAAAUAAGAAUGGAAAACAUGUGUAAUUGCUUAAUUCUUGAAGACUUGUGUCAGUCAAUCAAUAAGGUUACUAAAGAAUCACCGAGGUGCCUUGAUGAUACUUCUGUGGUGGAAAAUGCAAACACAGAGGAGGCUGAGGGGGUUGAAAACUUCGGGGCUAAUAAGGAUGUCGUUGAGGGCCUCUCCUGUGGUCAAGUGAAAUGCAUUGAUCUAAAAGGGCAUCGUAAUUGUAUCACAGGUUUAGCGAUUGGAGGUGGCUUUCUGUUCAGCUCGUCAUUUGACAAAAUGGUCAAUGUAUGGUCUUUGCAGAUUAUGGAGAACCGCUGUGCAUUAGUGGUGAUAAUGGUGGCACAAUUUGCAUUUGGCGAGCUAGCACUCCAUUAAGUCCAGAACCACUGAAGAAACUACAGGAGCAACAGGACUGGCGUUAUAGUGGUAUACAUGCCCUUGCUUUCUCUGCAAGCCAAUAUCUAUAUACUGGCAGCGGUGACAAGUCUAUAAAAGCAUGGUCUUUGCAGGAUUACAGUCUAUCAUGCACUAUGAAUGGCCAUAAAUCAGUUGUAUCUUCAUUAGCAAUAUGUGAUGAGGUUCUUUACAGUGGUAGUUGGGAUGGAACUGUACGGUUAUGGUGCCUUAGUGAUCAUAGUCCAUUGGCAGUUUUGGGGGAAGAAGCCCCAGGGAGUGUUUGCUCAGUUUUUUGUCUUGCUGUUGAUGAGAAUGUACUUGUUGCAGCUUAUGAGAACGGUUUGACAAAGAUUUGGUUUGCCGAUGUUCUGGUGAAAUCUGCUCAAGAACACGAGGGUGCCGUCUUUUCUGCUUGCAAGAAGGAGAAGUGGAUUUUUACAGGUGGCUGGGACAAGACUAUAAAAGUAAAGGAACUAUGUGGAGAUGGUGAACAGAUAGAUGCCUUUCCUCUUGGAUCUAUUACAUGUGAUUCUGUAGUAACAGCUCUACUCCACUGGCACGGGAAGCUCUUUGUUGGACAAGCUGAUGGAGUUAUCAAGGUGUACUAUUUCUGCAGUCAGAUGAAUCAUUGAAAGCACUUUUGGAUAGUUUUAUCAAUUAUUUCUUUCGAGAAGCAUCUUGUCUCAGCAACUGCAAGGAACUAAUUGUAGUAUUGUACCAAGUUGAAGUAGCGUAGUGGGAAACACCCUUCACCUUAAGUCACUAAGGAAGUAAACAAGGAAUUGGACCCCUCUUGGCUCCUGAGAAAUUUACGAUAUCAAGAAAAUACUCUUAAAAAAAAAAA